CGGCCACUGAAGAUCCAAACCAACCGGACACUCCGGACAGCCCGACCUCAGUGGCUCCAUGUAUUAAGCCAAAGGAUACGAAGAACGAUAUCGACCUACUUCGAGUCAAUGGCGCGAAACCAGUGGUAUGGUUCAGGACGAAGGAUCUUGACUUCUGGGAGAACCUGACGACCGGAGACGAGAGCUUCGACAUCGUGUACAUAUUCAACGUGCCGCGGGCGCCGAGGGUGACGAAGGAAACUAAUACCACUAUACAUCCUGACGGUACUGUAGUGGAAGAAGUGACGCAGACCAUUUAUGACGACGAGGAUUUACCACCAAGAGUUAUCAAAACGACUACGGUCACUAAACCUGAUGGCACCCAAUCAAAGACGUGAGAAGAUCUAUAUUGGAUUCAAAUAAGUUUAAAGUAAUUAACAAUACUUUUAGUC
This is a long non-coding RNA of Cydia fagiglandana, 431 nucleotides long. RefSeq lists it as uncharacterized. The record is from RefSeq and is a predicted model, not a curated record. The transcript is spliced from 3 exons. Lineage: Eukaryota; Metazoa; Arthropoda; Insecta; Lepidoptera; Tortricidae.